This 93-nucleotide transfer RNA is filed under the name Hydrogenophaga sp. RNAcentral describes it as "tRNA-Ser". It matches the Rfam family "tRNA". Rfam says of the family: Transfer RNA (tRNA) molecules are approximately 80 nucleotides in length. Lineage: Bacteria; Pseudomonadati; Pseudomonadota; Betaproteobacteria; Burkholderiales; Comamonadaceae. The record is from RNAcentral. RNAcentral also lists the same sequence under 2 other names.
GGAGUGAUGACCGAGUGGCCGAAGGUGCUCCCCUGCUAAGGGAGUAUGGGGUGUAGAGCCUCAUCGAGGGUUCGAAUCCCUCUCGCUCCGCCA